GUAAAUAUGUGGAUGCACUAUAUCAAGUUCAGAAAGUUCUGUAUUUCUAUUUUUCUCAGAAUUUUUAAUCAUGAAUGGAUGUUGAAUUUACUCAAAUGUUUUUCUAUACCAAUUGACAUGACCAUAUGAUUUUUUAUUCUUUAGUUUGCUAAUGUGGAACACAUUGAUUUUUUUCUAAUGUGCCAGCUUUGAAUUCUUGAUAUAAAACCUAAUUGGUUGAUAUUUUUAUCCAUAUUCAUGAGAGAGAUUGGUGAAUACUUUUCUUGGUACUGUCUGUGUGUGAUUUUGAUAUUAGGAUAAUAGUAGCCUUAUAAAAUGAAUUCCAAAUGUUCCCUCCUAUAAUUGAGAAGAUAUUGUGUGGACUUGGUGCUAUUUCUUUAUUAAAAGUUUGGUAUAAUUUUCCAGCAAAACCAUCUGGGCUUGGAGAUUUCUUUUGGGUAGUUUUAAAAUUACUAAUUUGGCUGGGUGUGGUAGCACAUGCCUGUAAUCCCAGCAACUUGUGAGGCUGAAACAGGAGGAAUGCAAGUUUGAGAUCAUUCUCACCAAUUAGUGAGGCUCUGUUGGAAAAUAAAAAGAGAUAAGGUUAUAGCUCAGUGGUAAAGUAACUCUGGGUUCAUUCUUAGUAUGGAAAAAACUACUAAUAUAAUUCUGUUAUAAUGCCAUUAAAAAUAUAUAUUUUAUAUUAAGUGAGGUCCAGGUAGUAUAUUUUUAGGAAUAAUUCCAUAUCAUAUAACUUGCCAAAUUUAUUUCUGGAGACUUUUUC
RNAcentral lists this long non-coding RNA (763 nucleotides) under Marmota monax (woodchuck). Lineage: Eukaryota; Metazoa; Chordata; Mammalia; Rodentia; Sciuridae. The record is from RNAcentral.